GAUGAACGCUGGCGGCGUGCUUAACACAUGCAAGUCGAACGGAAAGGCCAUGCUUUUGUGGGGUACUCGAGUGGCGAACGGGUGAGUAACACGUGGGUAACCUGCCCUUGACUUUGGGAUAAGUUCAGGAAACUGGGGCUAAUACCGGAUAGGAGCCACUGGUGGAUGGGGGGGGGGGGAGAUUUUGCGGUUUGGGAUGGGCUCGCGGCGUAUCAGCUUGUUGGUGGGGUGUUGGCCUACCAAGGCGUUGACGGGUAGCCGGCCUGAGAGGGUGUCCGGCCACAUUGGGACUGAGAUACGGCCCAGACUCCUACGGGAGGCAGCAGUGGGGAAUAUUGCACAAUGGGCGGAAGCCUGAUGCAGCAACGCCGCGUGCGGGAUGACGGCCUUCGGGUUGUAAACCGCUUUCGUCUGUGACGAAGCGAGAGUGACGGUAACUGGAUAAGAAGCACCGGCUAACUACGUG
RNAcentral lists this ribosomal RNA (466 nucleotides) under uncultured bacterium. RNAcentral's name for it is "partial 16S ribosomal RNA". It matches the Rfam family "Bacterial small subunit ribosomal RNA", at positions 28 to 507 of the family's 1533-position model. The record is from RNAcentral.